Molecule: ribosomal RNA, 433 nt
Filed under: uncultured bacterium
Lineage: Bacteria
Description: partial 16S ribosomal RNA
Rfam family: Bacterial small subunit ribosomal RNA
Source: RNAcentral
AACGAACGCUGGCGGCAUGCCUAACACAUGCAAGUCGAACGAGACCUUCGGGUCUAGUGGCGCACGGGUGCGUAACGCGUUGGAACCUGCCCUUAGGUUCGGAAUAACUCCCCGAAAUGGGUGCUAAUACCGGAUAAUGUCUUCGGACCAAAGAUUUAUCGCCUUUGGAUGGGCCCGCGUUGGAUUAGCUAGUUGGUAGGGUAAAAGCCUACCAAGGCGACGAUCCAUAGCUGGUCUGAGAGGAUGAUCAGCCACACUGGGACUGAGACACGGACCAGACUCCUACGGGAGGCAGCAGUGGGGAAUAUUGGACAAUGGGCGAAAGCCUGAUCCAGCAAUGCCGCGUGAGUGAUGAAGGCCUUAGGGUUGUAAAGCUCUUUUACCCGGGAUGAUAAUGACAGUACCGGGAGAAUAAGCUCCGGCUAACUCCGUG